CCUUCAGCUUGGUGUCAAUGUGACGUUCCACCUGCAGUCCGUCAUCCCAGGUAUAAAACCCCCUUCAGCUUGGUGUCAAUGUGACGUUCCACCUGCAGUCCGUCAUCCCAGGUAUAAAACCCCCUUCAGCUUGGUGUCAAUGUGACGUUCCACCUGCAGCCCGUCAUCCCAGGUACAGAUAAAACCCCCUUCAGCUUGGUGUCAAUGUGACGUUCCACCUGCAGCCCGUCAUCCCAGGUAUAAAACCCCCUUCAGCUUGGUGUCAAUGUGACGUUCCACCUGCAUUCCGUCAUCCCAGGUAUAAAACCCCUUCAGCUUGGUGUCAAUGUGACGUUCCACCUGCAGUCUGUCAUCCUAGGUAUAAAACCCCUUCAGCUUGGUGUCAAUGUGACGUUCCACCUGCAGUCCGUCAUCCCAGGUAUAAAACCCCUUCAGCUUGGUGUCAAUGUGACGUUCCACCUGCAGUCUGUCAUCCUAGGUAUAAAACCCCUUCAGCUUGGUGUCAAUGUGACGUUCCACCUGCAGUCCGUCAUCCCAGGUAUAAAACCCCUUCAGCUUGGUGUCAAUGUGACGUUCCACCUGCAGUCCGUCAUCCCAGGUAUAAAACCCCUUCAGCUUGGUGUCAAUGUGACGUUCCACCUGCAGUCCGUCAUCCCAGGUAUAAAACCCCUUCAGCUUGGUGUCAAUGUGACGUUCCACCUGCAGUCCGUCAUCCCAGGUAUAAAACCCCCUUCAGCUUGGUGUCAAUGUGACGUUCCACCUGCAGUCCGUCAUCCCAGGUACAGAUAAAAAACCCUUCAGCUUGGUGUCAAUGUGACGUUCCACCUGCAGUCUGUCAUCCCAGGUAUAAAACCCCCUUCAGCUUGGUGUCAAUGUGACGUUCCACCUGCAGCCCGUCAUCCCAGGUAUAAAACCCCUUCAGCUUGGUGUCAAUGUGACGUUCCACCUGCAGUCCGUCAUCCCAGGUAUAAAACCCCUUCAGCUU
Long non-coding RNA from Salvelinus fontinalis (brook trout), 985 nucleotides. RefSeq lists it as uncharacterized. The record is from RefSeq and is a predicted model, not a curated record. The transcript is spliced from 3 exons. Lineage: Eukaryota; Metazoa; Chordata; Actinopteri; Salmoniformes; Salmonidae.